RNAcentral lists this transfer RNA (77 nucleotides) under Solitalea canadensis DSM 3403. RNAcentral's name for it is "tRNA-Pro". It matches the Rfam family "tRNA". From Rfam's summary of the family: Transfer RNA (tRNA) molecules are approximately 80 nucleotides in length. Their secondary structure includes four short double-helical elements and three loops (D, anti-codon, and T loops). Lineage: Bacteria; Pseudomonadati; Bacteroidota; Sphingobacteriia; Sphingobacteriales; Sphingobacteriaceae. The record is from RNAcentral.
CGGGAUGUAGCGUAGCCCGGUAUCGCGCCAGCAUGGGGUGCUGGAGGCCGUCGGUUCAAAUCCGGCCAUCCCGACAA